GGUCUCGUAGCUCAGCGGAAGAGCACUCGCUCACACGCGAGGGGUCGCUGGUUCGAACCCAGCCGGGACCACC
RNAcentral lists this transfer RNA (73 nucleotides) under Mycobacteroides abscessus. RNAcentral's name for it is "tRNA-???(caca)". It matches the Rfam family "tRNA". Rfam says of the family: Transfer RNA (tRNA) molecules are approximately 80 nucleotides in length. Their secondary structure includes four short double-helical elements and three loops (D, anti-codon, and T loops). The record is from RNAcentral. Lineage: Bacteria; Bacillati; Actinomycetota; Actinomycetes; Mycobacteriales; Mycobacteriaceae.